GACGAACGCUGGCGGCGUGCUUAACACAUGCAAGUCGAACGGAAAGGCCCUGCUUUUGUGGGGCGCUCGAGUGGCGAACGGGUGAGUAACACGUGAGUAACCUGCCCUUGACUUUGGGAUAACUUCAGGAAACUGGGGCUAAUACCGGAUAGGAGCUCCUGCUGCAUGGUGGGGGUUGGAAAGUUUCGGCGGUUGGGGGUGGACUCGCGGCUUAUCAGCUUGUUGGUGGGGUAGUGGCUUACCAAGGCUUUGAAGGGUAGCCGGCAUGAGAGGGUGGCCGGCCACAUUGGGACUGCGAUACGGCCCAGAAUGCUACGGGAGGCAGCAGUGGAGAAUAUUGCACAAUGGGCGGAAGCCUGAUGCAGCAACGCCGCGUGCGGGAUGACGGCCUUCGGGUUGUAAACCGCUUUCGCCUGUGACGAAGCGUGAGUGACGGUAAUGGGUAAAGAAGCACCGGCUAACUACGUG
Molecule: ribosomal RNA, 468 nt
Filed under: uncultured bacterium
Lineage: Bacteria
Description: partial 16S ribosomal RNA
Rfam family: Bacterial small subunit ribosomal RNA
Source: RNAcentral